This 420-nucleotide ribosomal RNA is filed under the name uncultured cyanobacterium. Its description in RNAcentral is "bacterial SSU rRNA". It matches the Rfam family "Bacterial small subunit ribosomal RNA", at positions 376 to 811 of the family's 1533-position model. The record is from RNAcentral. Lineage: Bacteria; Bacillati; Cyanobacteriota.
CGAAAGCCUGACGGAGCAAUACCGUGUGAGGGAGGAAGGCUCUUGGGUUGUAAACCUCUUUUCUCAGGGAAGAAGAUCUGACGGUACCUGAGGAAUAAGCAUCGGCUAACUCCGUGCCAGCAGCCGCGGUAAUACGGAGGAUGCAAGCGUUAUCCGGAAUUAUUGGGCGUAAAGCGUCCGCAGGUGGUUUUUCAAGUCCGCUGUUAAAGACUGGAGCUCAACUCCGGAAAGGCAGUGGAAACUGGAAGACUAGAGUUCGGUAGGGGUAGCGGGAAUUCCCAGUGUAGCGGUGAAAUGCGUAGAGAUUGGGAAGAACAUCGGUGGCGAAAGCGCGCUACUGGACCGAGACUGACACUCAGGGACGAAAGCUAGGGGAGCGAAAGGGAUUAGAUACCCCUGUAGUCCUAGCUGUAAACGAUG